This 87-nucleotide unclassified non-coding RNA is filed under the name Pseudomonas marginalis. The record is from RNAcentral. Lineage: Bacteria; Pseudomonadati; Pseudomonadota; Gammaproteobacteria; Pseudomonadales; Pseudomonadaceae.
GUGGGAGGGGGCUUGCUCCCGAUAGCAGGGUGUCAGUCAGCUUAUUUUCAGCUGACACACCGCCAUCGGGAGCAAGCCCCCUCCCAC